This 68-nucleotide transfer RNA is filed under the name Felis catus (domestic cat). It matches the Rfam family "tRNA". From Rfam's summary of the family: Transfer RNA (tRNA) molecules are approximately 80 nucleotides in length. The record is from Rfam by way of RNAcentral. RNAcentral also lists the same sequence under 4 other names. Lineage: Eukaryota; Metazoa; Chordata; Mammalia; Carnivora; Felidae.
GGUAAAAUGCCUGAGGAAAGCAUUAGACUUUAAAUCUAAGAACAGAGGUUUAAGUCCUCUUUUUGCCA